GGGGCCGUCCCGGAUUCGACAGGUUGGUGAAAGCCGACCCGUGAUGCAGGUCGAGAGUGAGUCUACUCUCGUAAAUUCAGGCUCAACUUCAAAAGUAACUGCGAACAACAUCGUUCCAUUUGCUCGUAAAGCAGCACCUGUUGCUGCCUAAAAGCCUCUAGUUAGGCACGAGCGUUCAUAGUCUGACUCCGUUAAGGGCUAUGGACAAAACCCCAACGGAUGCGCACUUUAAUUGCCU
Molecule: transfer-messenger RNA, 238 nt
Filed under: Cyanobacteria bacterium SW_4_48_29
Lineage: Bacteria; Bacillati; Cyanobacteriota
Description: partial transfer-messenger RNA
Rfam family: transfer-messenger RNA
About the family: Bacterial tmRNA, also known as 10Sa RNA or SsrA, is named for its dual tRNA and mRNA-like properties.
Source: RNAcentral